RNAcentral lists this ribosomal RNA (449 nucleotides) under uncultured prokaryote. RNAcentral's name for it is "bacterial SSU rRNA". It matches the Rfam family "Bacterial small subunit ribosomal RNA", at positions 355 to 796 of the family's 1533-position model. The record is from RNAcentral.
UGGGGAAUAUUGGACAAUGGGGGCAACCCUGAUCCAGCAAUGCCGCGUGUGUGAAGAAGGCCUGCGGGUUGUAAAGCACUUUCAGUAGAGAAGAAAAGCUUACGGUUAAUACCCGUGAGUCUUGACGUAACCUACAGAAGAAGCACCGGCUAACUCCGUGCCAGCAGCCGCGGUAAUACGGAGGGUGCGAGCGUUAAUCGGAAUUACUGGGCGUAAAGCGCGCGUAGGCGGUUUUGUAAGUCGGAUGUGAAAUCCCCGGGCUUAACCUGGGAACUGCAUUCGAUACUGCAUAACUAGAGUAUGGUAGAGGGAAGUGGAAUUUCCGGUGUAGCGGUGAAAUGCGUAGAUAUCGGAAGGAACACCAGUGGCGAAGGCGACUUCCUGGGCCAAUACUGACGCUGAGGUGCGAAAGCGUGGGGAGCAAACAGGAUUAGAUACCCCCGUAGUCC